Molecule: ribosomal RNA, 107 nt
Filed under: uncultured bacterium
Lineage: Bacteria
Description: partial 16S ribosomal RNA
Rfam family: Bacterial small subunit ribosomal RNA
Source: RNAcentral
UAGGGAAUAUUGCACAAUGGGGGAAACCCUGAUGCAGCGACGCCGCGUGAGUGAUGAAGGCCUUCGGGUCGUAAAGCUCUGUCGUAUGGGACUAACAAAAUGAAGUA